GACGAACGCUGGCGGCGUGCUUAACACAUGCAAGUCGAACGAUGAAGCCUAGCUUGCUAGGUGGAUUAGUGGCGAACGGGUGAGUAAUACGUGAGUAACCUACCUUUAACUCUGGGAUAAGCCUGGGAAACUGGGUCUAAUACCGGAUACGACCAAUCUCCGCAUGGGGUGUUGGUGGAAAGCGUUAUGUAGUGGUUAUAGAUGGGCUCACGGCCUAUCAGCUUGUUGGUGAGGUAACGGCUCACCAAGGCGACGACGGGUAGCCGGCCUGAGAGGGUGACCGGCCACACUGGGACUGAGACACGGCCCAGAUUCCUACGGGAGGCAGCAGUGGGGAAUAUUGCACAAUGGGCGCAAGCCUGAUGCAGCGACGCCGCGUGAGGGAUGACGGCCUUCGGGUUGUAAACCUCUGUUAGCAGGGAAGAAGAGAGAUUGACGGUACCUGCAGAGAAAGCGCCGGCUAACUACGUG
RNAcentral lists this ribosomal RNA (471 nucleotides) under uncultured bacterium. Its description in RNAcentral is "partial 16S ribosomal RNA". It matches the Rfam family "Bacterial small subunit ribosomal RNA", at positions 28 to 507 of the family's 1533-position model. The record is from RNAcentral.